This is a non-coding RNA of Dipodomys ordii (Ord's kangaroo rat), 65 nucleotides long. Lineage: Eukaryota; Metazoa; Chordata; Mammalia; Rodentia; Heteromyidae. The record is from Rfam.
GGUGGCUCAGUGGUAGAGUGCUUGCCUUACAUGCAUGAGGUCCAUGGUUCAAUACCUUAGCACCA